Molecule: ribosomal RNA, 253 nt
Filed under: uncultured bacterium
Lineage: Bacteria
Description: partial 16S ribosomal RNA
Rfam family: Bacterial small subunit ribosomal RNA
Source: RNAcentral
UACGGGGGGGGCAAGCGUUGUUCGGAAUUACUGGGCGUAAAGGGCUCGUAGGCGGCCAACUAAGUCAGACGUGAAAUCCCUCGGCUUAACCGGGGAACUGCGUCUGAUACUGGAUGGCUAGAGGUUGGGAGAGGGAUGCGGAAUUCCAGGUGUAGCGGUGAAAUGCGUAGAUAUCAGGAAGAACACCCGUGGCGAAAGCGGCUCUCUGGAACGGUACUGACGCUGAGACGCGAAAGCGUGGGGAGCGAACAGG